AGCGAACGCUGGCGGCAGGCCUAACACAUGCAAGUCGAACGAAACUGUCGGGGUUAGUGGCGGAGGGGUGAGUAACACGUGGGAACGUGCCCUUAGGUUCGGAAUAACUCAGGGAAACUUGUGUUAAUACCGAAUGUGCUCUUCGGGGGAAAGAUCUAUCGCUUUUAGAGCGGCCCGCGUCUGAUUAGCUGGUUGGUUGGGGUAAUGGCUCAUCAAGGCGUGGAUGAGUAGCUGGGCUGAGAGGAGGAUUAACCACAUCUGGACUGCGACACGGCCCCAACUCGUACGGAAGGGAGCAGAGGGGAAUAUAGCGGGAUGGACGAAGGCAUGACGCAGCCAUGCGCGGUAAAUGAUGAAUGUCGUAGUAUUGCAAUUUUCUUUCACCGGAGGCGUUAAUGACGGUACCCGGUGAAGAAGCCCCGGCUAACUACGUG
This 434-nucleotide ribosomal RNA is filed under the name uncultured bacterium. Its description in RNAcentral is "partial 16S ribosomal RNA". It matches the Rfam family "Bacterial small subunit ribosomal RNA", at positions 29 to 507 of the family's 1533-position model. The record is from RNAcentral.